Molecule: non-coding RNA, 541 nt
Organism: Pseudonaja textilis
Lineage: Eukaryota; Metazoa; Chordata; Lepidosauria; Squamata; Elapidae
Source: RefSeq, a predicted model, not a curated record
UGCUGGCCUCGCUUUCGGCGGCGUUUUCGUGCUGCUACGGUUCGAGGUUUCUGCUUUGUGGCCGUCGGUGGCUUGCUUGGAUAAGCGCAAAGUCACCUUCUAACCAGAAAUGGUGGCUUGGGGUUCUCCUCUUUCUAUAUACAGAUAUUAAACUGCAGCGAAGGAGGAGAGUCACCUGCUGCAGGUGGGGGAAAAACUGAUCAAAAGAGACGCCGAAGGCAGAGAAUCGCGCAGCGGACAGAGGCUUCCGCGAGGAUGCAACUAUCUGCAUGCAAAAUCACACCCCUCUACAAAAAGGGUGGCGAUGCUGAUGGCAUAACACUGUUUUGUCAUUUUCCUUCCUUGGACACCCUUUACAAGACAUCCAUAUUUUAUAUAUAUAGCAUGAAAGUCAGAACAUAUGCACAUGGCGUAUCAUUUCAUCUAAGAACUUACUGAUGUUUUCUUCACAGCAAGACAGUGACAGGAUACUGCAAUCAAAAGUUUCCAGAGUUGAAGAUGUAUCAGCAAAAAACCUUCUAUGAUAUCCUUUUCAAACAGG